Molecule: ribosomal RNA, 485 nt
Filed under: uncultured Alcaligenes sp.
Lineage: Bacteria; Pseudomonadati; Pseudomonadota; Betaproteobacteria; Burkholderiales; Alcaligenaceae
Description: bacterial SSU rRNA
Rfam family: Bacterial small subunit ribosomal RNA
Source: RNAcentral
AGAGUUUGAUCCUGGCUCAGAUUGAACGCUAGCGGGAUGCUUUACACAUGCAAGUCGAACGGCAGCGCGAGAGAGCUUGCUCUCUUGGCGGCGAGUGGCGGACGGGUGAGUAAUAUAUCGGAACGUGCCCAGUAGCGGGGGAUAACUACUCGAAAGAGUGGCUAAUACCGCAUACGCCCUACGGGGGAAAGGGGGGGAUCGCAAGACCUCUCACUAUUGGAGCGGCCGAUAUCGGAUUAGCUAGUUGGUGGGGUAAAGGCUCACCAAGGCAACGAUCCGUAGCUGGUUUGAGAGGACGACCAGCCACACUGGGACUGAGACACGGCCCAGACUCCUACGGGAGGCAGCAGUGGGGAAUUUUGGACAAUGGGGGAAACCCUGAUCCAGCCAUCCCGCGUGUAUGAUGAAGGCCUUCGGGUUGUAAAGUACUUUUGGCAGAGAAGAAAAGGUAUCCCCUAAUACGGGAUACUGCUGACGGUAUCUGC